RNAcentral lists this ribosomal RNA (910 nucleotides) under uncultured bacterium. RNAcentral describes it as "bacterial SSU rRNA". It matches the Rfam family "Bacterial small subunit ribosomal RNA", at positions 8 to 916 of the family's 1533-position model. The record is from RNAcentral.
AGAGUUUGAUCCUGGCUCAGGAUGAACGCUAGCGAUAGGCUUAACACAUGCAAGUCGAGGGGCAUCACGAGGUAGCAAUACUUUGGUGGCGACCGGCGUACGGGUGCGUAACACGUAUGCAACCUUCCUGUAAGUGUGGGAUAGCCUCCUGAAAGGGAGAUUAAUACCUCAUGAUAUGCAUUUGCUGCAUGGCAUUUACAUUAAACAUUUAUGGCUUACAGAUGGGCAUGCGUUCCAUUAGGCAGUUGGUGUGGUAACGGCUCACCAAACCUACGAUGGAUAGGGGUUCUGAGAGGAAGGUCCCCCACACUGGAACUGAGACACGGUCCAGACUCCUACGGGAGGCAGCAGUGAGGAAUAUUGGUCAAUGGGCGCGAGCCUGAACCAGCCACGUCGCGUGAAGGAUGACGGCCUUAUGGGUUGUAAACUUCUUUUACAGGGGAAUAAAGUGAGUCACGCGUGAUUUUUUGCAUGUACCCUGUGAAUAAGCAUCGGCUAACUCCGUGCCAGCAGCCGCGGUAAUACGGAGGAUGCGAGCGUUAUCCGGAUUUAUUGGGUUUAAAGGGUGCGUAGGCGGAUGAAUAAGUCAGUGGUGAAAGGCUGCAGCUUAACUGUAGACUUGCCGUUGAUACUGUUUAUCUUGAGUGUGGUCAAGGCAGGCGGAAUGUGUAAUGUAGCGGUGAAAUGCUUAGAUAUUACACAGAACACCGAUUGCGAAGGCAGCUUGCUGGGCCAUUACUGACGCUGAUGCACGAAAGCGUGGGGAGCGAACAGGAUUAGAUACCCUGGUAGUCCACGCCGUAAACUAUGAUCACUAGCUGUUGGCGAUACACAGUCAGCGGCAAAGCAAAGCAUUAAGUGAUCCACCUGGGGAGUACGGCCGCAAGGCUGAAACUCAAUGAAUUGACGG